RNAcentral lists this non-coding RNA (26 nucleotides) under Mus musculus (house mouse). The record is from RNAcentral. Lineage: Eukaryota; Metazoa; Chordata; Mammalia; Rodentia; Muridae.
GAGAAACAUCUGACUGUGGCCACAAA